UUCAUUUUGAAUGAUAUGACUACUCCCUCAGGAGCAAGUGGGAUGGAUUUCACACAUGGCAAUUUGGAGGAUCAGCACACACCGCGUAUACUGUAUUCAAUGGCUGACCCAGGGCAAAAUGGGCCAAAUCUGUGAAGAGGUUGAGCAAUCAGGGAAUCCAAAAGGAAAAGAAUGAAGCCUGGUAACAAAAAGGGCAGGGAAGAAACCCGAGUUAAGUGGAAGAACAUUGAAGCCACAGAGAGUAAGAAUAUGGGUUCAGAGCCAACGGACAGAGAAGGAGAGAAAGAAUGAGAUGAGGAUGGAGAGGCAGAGAGGAGGAGAGGGCCAGAAAGAGCAAGUGGUUAGACGAGUAGGCCUGAUGAGCAAUGAGCGCCUCACUCGUCUUCAAUUAAUCUUGUCUCUCAACCUUUUGGUUGGACGCCUCUGUGGAACCAAGAUGGUGUCAACAGCCGACAUGCUCUCACCCUGCUGCCGAACUCCCCGCUCAGACACAUCCAAAGCCCUGCCAAGACCACAGAACUGACGCUAAUAAAAUCAUUUGAAAUUUAACAAGCGCCAGUUUCAGGCCCAGUUCACUGAGAACCACCAGGAAAGUCAUGACAUUCACUCUUGAAUGUUUCAUCGGCUGGCCUGGGAGGCCUGUUUUAUAUGCCUUCAGGCUGUUCAUGAGCAGGAGGAAGCCUGGAGGCAGGAACCUGCACAUCAGCACUUCUCUGCCCAUCAUGACUCUUUCAUGGGGACCCAGUCUCCUGAAAUUCUCUAAUAGAGCCCAGUGAGAUGACAACUAUAAUGAGCCCAACAGAUGAAAGCCCAGCAGGACAAAGCAACAUUCAGAUCCAUCUCCACACAAACACUUCGGAGCAACAGUCUGAGGCUCCCAGUGUGAGUGUUUUAUUUAGGUAAACAAAAACACUGGAUUUAGAGUGAUGGAACCAAAGGAAGCAUCUGUAUUUUGGCAGAACUUCAAAAAGUAUAUGUGGGCAUGCUUAAAAUGUCAACAGAAAACAAUUGAAUAAAAGAUAUUUGAUAUAUUGGCUUUCCCGGUGAAUUGAGAGACCAUCAUGAGGAGGUUAUUUUACCUCUUCAUGAUUUCAUACCUUUAUAGAUUUAGUCAGCUUGUUUAUAAGUUUUUUUUAAGUGUAUAAAAUUGAGCACUCUGACAUGAUACAUUAAACAUUAAAUAUUAGCCUAAGACAGCAAUUUCACCCAGGGGAGAUUUUAUAUCCAACAUGUUAAAGUAAUUUUCUAUAAUCUAUUCAAGGUCUGCUGUGAAAAAAUGUGACUAUGUGACUGUAGUAACUAAUAUCUAGCAGCAGUAGCUUAGUAGCUGGCCUUGAACUUUUUAAAUUUUAAUGAAAACAAAACAGAGGUGAUGGUGUUUGGACCCAGUGGCUCCUGUGAGUCCUCCUCUGUUGACCUGGGACCCUUGGAGGUUUAUUUUAAACCUGUUAUUACAGAUCUUGGUUUUAAGGUGGACAGUGAUUUUAAAUUGGAUAGCCAAAUCAGAGCCGUGGUUAAGUCCAGCUUUUAUCACUUAAGGCGAUUGGCGUCAGUGAAAUCUUUUCUUUCCAGGCAGCAUUUUGAAACAGUGAUCCAUGCUUUUAUUUCAACUCGAUUGGAUUACUGUAACGCACUUUAUCUGGGAGUUAGUCAGUCGCUGCUCUCACAUCUGCAGCUAGUACAGAAUGCUGCUGCACGACUGCUGACAGGAACUCGAAAGAGGGAACACGUGACCCCUGUCCUGGCCUCACUUCACUGGCUGCCGGUAUAUUUUAGGAUUCAUUUUAAAAUUCUUAUGUUUGUUUUUAAAUCACUACAUAAUCUUGCCCCGGCUUACCUCUCUGAGCUUCUUCACCCAUACAUACCUUAUCGGUCUCUUAGGUCCGCAGAUCAGCUGCUUUUGGAGGUACCGAGAUCAAGAAGGAAGCUCAGAGGGGACAGAGCUUUCUCUGUCAUGGGCCCCAAAUUAUGGAACAACUUGCCUUUGCAGGUCAGGGAGGCCCCUUCACUGUCCACUUUUAAAGCUCGUCUUAAAACCCAUCUAUUUUAUUUGGCUUUCAACUCUAGCGGGAUCUAGUUUUAAA
Molecule: long non-coding RNA, 2084 nt
Organism: Xiphophorus couchianus (Monterrey platyfish)
Lineage: Eukaryota; Metazoa; Chordata; Actinopteri; Cyprinodontiformes; Poeciliidae
Exons: 4
Source: RefSeq, a predicted model, not a curated record